This 399-nucleotide non-coding RNA is filed under the name Helicobacter sp. MIT 05-5294. Its description in RNAcentral is "bacterial LSU rRNA". It matches the Rfam family "Bacterial large subunit ribosomal RNA", at positions 842 to 1242 of the family's 2925-position model. The record is from RNAcentral. Lineage: Bacteria; Pseudomonadati; Campylobacterota; Epsilonproteobacteria; Campylobacterales; Helicobacteraceae.
GUGAUAGCUGGUUCUCUUCGAAAUAUAUUUAGGUAUAGCCUCAAGUGAUAGUAAUAGGGGGUAGAGCUCUGAUUGGGCUAGGGCUGCUCACCGCGGUACCAACCCCUGUCAAACUACGAAUACCUAUUACCGUAUCUUGGGAGUCAGGCGGUGGGUGAUAAAAUCAAUCGUCUAAAGGGGAACAACCCAGACUACCAACUAAGGUCCCAAAGUUCUAUUCUAAGUGGAAAAAGAUGUGGAGUUACUCAGACAACCAGGAGGUUGGCUUAGAAGCAGCCAUCCUUUAAAGAUAGCGUAACAGCUCACUGGUCUAGUGAUUCUGCGCUGAAAAUAUAACGGGGCUAAGAUAGACACCGAAGUUGUAGAUUGUGCUGAUGCACAGUGGUAGAAGAGCGUUCG